AUGGUUCUUCUAGACAGAAGUCAUAUGUUUGUCUCAAAGACUAUGCCAUGCAUGUGUAAGUAUGAACUAAUUCAGAGUGUGAAACUACGAAUGACUCAUUAAAUCAAUUAUAGUUUAUUUAAUGGUAUCUACUACUUAAAUAAUCAUAGUAAUUCUAGAGCUAAUACGUGCAACAAAUCCUAACUUCUGAAAAUGAUGCAUUUAUUACAUAAAAGAUCGACACAAGCUCUGCCUACUACUUUGGUUAUUCAUGAUAACUUGUUGAAUUGCACGACUCUUGUGUUGACAAUGCACCAUUCGAAUUUCCGCCUUAUCAACUUUUGAUGGUAGGAUAAUGGCCUACCAUGGUGAUGAAAUGUGACAAAGAAUUAGGGUUUGGUUCAAGACUUGGAGCUUGAGAAAUGGCUACCAUGGAAGGCAAUAGACGCACAAAUUACCCAAUCCUAACACGUAGAGGUAGUGACAAUAAAUAAUAUUAUCUAGCUCAUUGAAAGUUUAAGGCUCAAAGAUGAUUAGAUAUCAUCCUAGUCUCAACCAUAAAAAAAUACCAACAAUGGAUUAGUGGAUGUUGCUUUUAUGACUUUACUGGUACCUUAUAAAAAAAUCAAAGUCUUUGGGUU
This 620-nucleotide non-coding RNA is filed under the name Vigna radiata var. radiata (mung bean). Its description in RNAcentral is "Eukaryotic small subunit ribosomal RNA". It matches the Rfam family "Eukaryotic small subunit ribosomal RNA", at positions 1 to 1113 of the family's 1831-position model. The record is from Rfam by way of RNAcentral. Lineage: Eukaryota; Viridiplantae; Streptophyta; Magnoliopsida; Fabales; Fabaceae.